Long non-coding RNA from Ursus maritimus (polar bear), 810 nucleotides. Lineage: Eukaryota; Metazoa; Chordata; Mammalia; Carnivora; Ursidae. The record is from Ensembl.
AUGGGCGGAUGCAGCUCCCUAUAUACAACUCGGUCACCAUGGGGAUGGGCUGGGGCCUUUUCCUGUUGGUCCAGACCCCUCGGUCUGCCCGGAGAAGCCACGACAGAGAGUGGUGAUUGGUGCAAGCAACAUGGGAUGAGAAAUCUUCAGGUCCCUGCGCUUUUUAACGCAGGCACAUCCCGCAAAAGUAGAGAACCUGGCUCCGUUUCAAAGAGAGGAAAGCCAGCUGCUGUCAUCGGAAUCCCCCAGACAAGCUGCGAUAUCGCCACUUCUGUCUAUGAAGUACCAUCUCCAGUGUCCUCAGACGUGACAGGAAAGGCGGGCCUAAUCUCAGGAUUAAAGCACAGCCAUUUAUCGUUCCUUUAGUCUGUACUCUUCUUGUCGUGUGGGUGUUUUUUUUUUUUUAAAGCGCCGCUCUCCUGAGCACCUACUGCGUGUCUAAUACUCUGCUGGGUACUGUGUGAAACAUAAAGAAAGGGCGAGGGCAUGACAGGGCUCUUGCCUACAAAUGCUCCUGGCUAUUAAAUUGAAGGGCCUUCCGCACCAGGUUAACGCAGGAAAGGACCUGUCAGAUGAAAGGCAUUCUGUAAGGUGCUGUCUGGGUAACAGAUGAUAAUAUAAACACAGGGUAGUACUAUGAAUAUACAUGCCCAGUGACCACUUUAUCAAAAUGUUCCGUUAAUUACAAAGGUAGAUAUACUCCCUUAACACCUGCUUAUUCGCUCCUUAUCUAGCUUCAGAAUUAUUUCAGAAGCUCAUCUAUAGCACCUGAGCCAUUAAAUUAGCUGCUAAUGCGGGGCAGGGUUCCUG